This 327-nucleotide ribosomal RNA is filed under the name uncultured Nitrospira sp. Its description in RNAcentral is "bacterial SSU rRNA". It matches the Rfam family "Bacterial small subunit ribosomal RNA", at positions 37 to 355 of the family's 1533-position model. The record is from RNAcentral. Lineage: Bacteria; Pseudomonadati; Nitrospirota; Nitrospiria; Nitrospirales; Nitrospiraceae.
UGGCGGCCCGUCUAAUACAUGGGAAAAAAACGAGAAUGUGUAGCAAUACACAUGUACAGUGGCUUUUUGCUGAGGACUACAUGGGUAACCUACCCUCGAGUGGGGAAUAACUAGCCGAAAGGUUAGCUAAUACCGCGUACGCUUCCCGGACUGCGGUUCGGGAAGGAAAGCGAUACCGUGGGUAUCGCGCUCUUGGAUGGGCUCAUGCCCUAUCAGCUUGUUGGUGAGGUAACGGCUCACCAAGGCUUCGACGGGUAGCUGAUCUGAGAGGAUGAUCAGCCACACUGGCACUGCGACACGGGCCAGACUCCUACGGGAGGCAGCAGU